UCCCUGGUGGCUCAGAUGGUAAAGCAUCUGCCUACUAUGCUGAAGACCCAGGUUCGAUCCCUGGGUUGGGAA
Molecule: transfer RNA, 72 nt
Filed under: Ovis aries (sheep)
Lineage: Eukaryota; Metazoa; Chordata; Mammalia; Artiodactyla; Bovidae
Rfam family: tRNA
About the family: Transfer RNA (tRNA) molecules are approximately 80 nucleotides in length. Their secondary structure includes four short double-helical elements and three loops (D, anti-codon, and T loops).
Source: Rfam by way of RNAcentral